GGGCUUGACAUCCCACGAACCUGCCCGAAAAGGUGGGGUGCCCGCAAGGGAGCGUGGAGACAGGUGGUGCAUGGCUGUCGUCAGCUCGUGUCGUGAGAUGUUGGGUUAAGUCCCGCAACGAGCGCAACCCUCACCCCUAGUUGCCACCGGGUUAAGCCGAGCACUCAAGGGGAACUGCCAGCGUCAAGCUGGAGGAAGGCGGGGAUGACGUCAAGUCAUCAUGCCCCUUACGCCCUGGGCUACACACGUGCUACAAUGGCCAGUACAAAGGGACGCGAGACUGCGAAGUGGAGCUAAUCCCAAAAAGCUGGUCUAAGUUCAGAUUGCAGUCUGCAACUCGACUGCAUGAAGGAGGAAUCGCUAGUAAUCGCGUAUCAGCCCGGCGCGGUGAAUACGUUCCCGGGCCUUGUACACAUCGCCCGUCACACCACGAAAGCUGUCUGUACUCGAAGUCGCUGAG
This 460-nucleotide ribosomal RNA is filed under the name uncultured Methylomirabilota bacterium. RNAcentral describes it as "bacterial SSU rRNA". It matches the Rfam family "Bacterial small subunit ribosomal RNA", at positions 977 to 1434 of the family's 1533-position model. The record is from RNAcentral. Lineage: Bacteria; Methylomirabilota (SeqCode).